ACGGAAGCCCGGUAAGGCCUAGGUCGGUCCGGAAGAGAAGGUUCGUCCUCCCGAACCGGGCGCCCAGCACGGUGCCCGGCACCCACGCCGAGUCACAGCCGCGAUAAUGGCAGAAGUGUUGCGGGCCUGCGUAAUUGCGAAAAUUUGACGGUGCCGACGGCCCUUUGGGUGGGGUUGCAACCGAAAGUUUCGCAAGAUCGCCGAGGCCAACCCACGCAACCCAGAGAUGCACGCUUGGUAACCGGGUUCCGUGCUAGCGGGCGGCGGACCGAAUUCGUUCGGGACGUCGCCCGCUUCGCUUA
Molecule: non-coding RNA, 302 nt
Filed under: Mycobacterium parmense
Lineage: Bacteria; Bacillati; Actinomycetota; Actinomycetes; Mycobacteriales; Mycobacteriaceae
Description: Mycobacterium smegmatis small RNA 1
Rfam family: Mycobacterium smegmatis small RNA 1
About the family: Mycobacterium smegmatis small RNA 1 is highly expressed during stationary phase of growth. Ms1 RNA directly interacts with RNA polymerase (RNAP), but in a different way than 6S, which is present in other bacteria.
Source: Rfam by way of RNAcentral